Molecule: long non-coding RNA, 865 nt
Organism: Bombus huntii
Lineage: Eukaryota; Metazoa; Arthropoda; Insecta; Hymenoptera; Apidae
Exons: 2
Source: RefSeq, a predicted model, not a curated record
AGACGACAAACUGGAUGAAACUUUAAGUCUCGUUCAGGUAGUGUGUAAAUCAAAAAUUCGAUGGGACUCGCAUCCGUCGUCCUCGCGCGGUCUUUCGUCCCGAUAUCCAGAAGCAGAGUUUGAAAAACUCUAGCGACGGCACGGGUGUCCGACUCACGACAACGAGGAAAGACAGCCGGUCCCCUCUGAACGGUAUAUUAUAUGAAACUUUAAGUCUCGUUCAGGUAGUGUGUAAAUAAAAAAUUCGAUGGGACUCGCAUCCGUUGUCCUCGCGCGGUCUUUCGUCCCGAUAUCCAGAAGCAGAGUUUGAAAAACUCUAGCGACGGCACGGGUCUCCGACUCACGACAACGAGGAAAGACAGCCGGUCCCCUCUGAACGGUAUAUUAUAUGAAACUUUAAGUCUCGUUCAGGUAGUGUGUAAAUAAAAAAUUCGAUGGGACUCGCAUCCGUCGUCCUCGCGCGGUCUUUCGUCCCGAUAUCCAGAAGCAGAGUUUGAAAAACUCUAGCGACGGCACGGGUGUCCGACUCACGACAACGAGGAAAGACAGCCGGUCCCCUCUGAACGGUAUAUUAUAUGAAACUUUAAGUCUCGUUCAGGUAGUGUGUAAGUCAAAAAUUCGAUGGGACUCGCAUCCGUCGUCCUCGCGCGGUCUUUCGUCCCGAUAUCCAGAAGCAGAGUUUGAAAAACUCUAGCGACGGCACGGGUGUCCGACUCACGACAACGAGGAUAGACAGCCGGUCCCCUCUGAACGGUAUAUAAUAUGAAACUUUAAGUCUCGUUCAGGUAGUGUGUAAGUCAAAAAUUCGAUGGGACUCGCAUCCGUCGUCCUCGCGCGGUCUUUCGUCCCGAUAUCCAGAAGCAGA